Molecule: long non-coding RNA, 807 nt
Organism: Phascolarctos cinereus (koala)
Lineage: Eukaryota; Metazoa; Chordata; Mammalia; Diprotodontia; Phascolarctidae
Source: RefSeq, a predicted model, not a curated record
UGUACCUCAAACAGUGCCCAAAGCUACGUGUGGGAAGUGAAAUGGAUAAAGUCAAAGCAAUUAUUCAUUUGCUUAAUUAGAAGUGGUUUCAUGGAUAUUUUUACAAACCAGAGGCUCUGUCAUGUUUUUUCCUAAGAUCAUCAAGACAUAACAGAACCACUCCCAGACCUUGUCUAAUUGGACACCCUCUUAUGAAUCCUAAUAAUGAUAGUGUUCACAGGGGACACGUGUAUCAUCUCCCCAUAUUUGAAUGACCACAUCUUGAAUGCCUGGCUCCUGAAGCAUCUGUCAUCCAGGAUCCACACGGAGAAGGAAGAAGGGAAGAAUCUGAGGACCAGCUAUGCUGCUGGUUGGGUGAACACUCAGUGCCUGGCUGUUUCCCUUCCUUCCCCCUCCCCGCUUUGUGUCAGCUGAUAGUAUCAGUGAUGCAGCUUUCUACACCGAUCAAAAUGCAGGCAUCCCCUUUGUGGAGAAGGCUGUCCUGUCUGUCAAAAAGCCUGAAGCAUUUAGAAAAGCUAAUUAAAACCACCAAGGAUGAAGAUGAGAUUUAUAAAUUCCACUUGUCAAUUCUGAGAGACUUGUGAGACCUCUGAUGUCAUGAAAAAAAAAAGAGAGACUGGUUUGAUGGAUUUUAAGAAAUGUAUGAAAAUCUUUAACGUCAUGUUACUCCUUCCCCAAAUUUUCAUAUAAAUGAGAGAUUUGCAGGUUUGGCAUUAAUAAUACAGUUAAUGUUGAAGACUGGCUUGCCGUAAUACAUGUCAAAAGUAUUAUGAUGGGUCGGAUUAUGAAACAAAGGCAAGUUCACAA